Chiloscyllium plagiosum (whitespotted bambooshark) is the source of this 751-nucleotide long non-coding RNA. RefSeq lists it as uncharacterized. The record is from RefSeq and is a predicted model, not a curated record. Lineage: Eukaryota; Metazoa; Chordata; Chondrichthyes; Orectolobiformes; Hemiscylliidae.
UUGAAAUCUAAACGACGGAGAGGCUUGCAGUUCCAGGCUGCGACUCUGUAGGAGGUCCUUAUGAAGUGCAGUGAAAUGAAAACAUCAUCUUCAUUUGAAGGUAUUUUAUUUCUGAGGCUAAGUGUGGAGACGAUCUGAAAAGCAGGAAGUAAUUUUGUUUGGGUUAGAGUGAAAAUUUUCACAUGAUUAUGUUCUUUUCAGUUCAUUACACAUUCAAGCCCAGGUAAAACUACAAAUUUUAAUGGCAAGUGCGCUGGAAGUUAUAAAAUCUGCUCGGACCUUCCGGGAUUCAACUUACAGGCCCUACAUUUAAAAUGCACCUGUACAGCACUUCACACUCUGCAGUCCAGGAGCAUCUGUGGAGAUAUUGGACAUUUGAUAACAGAACGGCCCACGCUUCAGUGAUAUCUCUCCAGACGUUCCCCUGCAGAGCAUCCACAGACGAAUCAAUGCGCUGCUUCCCAGGGAUGGCAACAAGAGGCCAUAUCAAGUCAGCAACCUGGCCAGAGAUGAGACUGGUUAUAGCGCUUUAAGAUGAUGAACAAUUUGCUACACACCAGCAGGGAGAAGAAUAUGCGUAACCAGCACAAGUGUUUGCAGAUGGGGGAGGAUUGCUUGAUGUCAAGGUGUCAAAGUCUAGUUCUCUGUCCUGGCAAGACAACAAGGGGAGUGUGCCUGUGCUGAAGGGGAAUUUCCAUAUCUACAGUUACCUUAGCCCAUACCAGAAAUGGCUGAAAACAUUCUAAGCAAG